GAUCAACGCUGGCGGCGUGCCUAAUGCAUGCAAGUCGAACGCGGUCUCCGCGAGGAGGCUGGCGUGGCGGACGGGUGAGGAACACGUGGGCAACCUGCCCCGGGGCGGGGGGUAGCCCCCGGAAACGGGGGGUAAUUCCGCAUGUGCGCGGCCCUCGUCUGGGGGGGUCGCGGAAAGGCGUCAGCCACCCCGGGAGGGGCCUGCGGCCGAUUAGCUGGUUGGCGGGGUCACGGCCCACCAAGGCGACGAUCGGUAGCUGGUCUGAGAGGACGGCCAG
RNAcentral lists this ribosomal RNA (277 nucleotides) under uncultured bacterium. Its description in RNAcentral is "partial 16S ribosomal RNA". It matches the Rfam family "Bacterial small subunit ribosomal RNA", at positions 28 to 307 of the family's 1533-position model. The record is from RNAcentral.